RNAcentral lists this ribosomal RNA (468 nucleotides) under uncultured bacterium. RNAcentral describes it as "partial 16S ribosomal RNA". It matches the Rfam family "Bacterial small subunit ribosomal RNA", at positions 28 to 507 of the family's 1533-position model. The record is from RNAcentral.
GACGAACGCUGGCGGCGUGCUUAACACAUGCAAGUCGAACGGAAAGGCCCUGCUUUUGUGGGGUGCUCGAGUGGCGAACGGGUGAGUAACACGUGAGUAACCUGCCCUUGACUUUGGGAUAACUUCAGGAAACUGGGGCUAAAACCGGAUAGGAGAUCUUGCUGCAUGGGGGGGGUGGGAAAGUUUCGGCGGUGGGGGAUGGACUCGCGGUUUAUCAGCUUGUUGGUGGGGUAGUGGCUUACAACGGCUUUGAGGGGUAGCCGGCCUGAGGGGGUGACCGGCCACAUUGGGCCUGAGAUACGGCCCAGACUCCUACGGGAGGCAGCAGUGGGGAAUCUUGCACAAUGGGCGGAAGCCUGAUGCAGCAACUCCGCGUGCGGGAUGACGGCCUUCGGGUUGUAAACCGCUUUCGCCUGUGACGAAGCGUGAGUGACGGUAAUGGGUAAAGAAGCCCCGGCUAACUACGUG